UGCGUAGGCGGAAUAUUAAGUCAGUGGUGAAAUCCUGCGGCUCAACCGUAGAACUGCCAUUGAUACUGAUAUUCUUGAAUGUAGUUGAGGUAGGCGGAAUGUGUAAUGUAGCGGUGAAAUGCUUAGAUAUUACACAGAACACCGAUUGCGAAGGCAGCUUACUAAACUAUGAUUGACACUGAGGCACGAAAGCGUGGGGAGCGAACAGGAUUAGAUACCCUGGUAGUCC
Molecule: ribosomal RNA, 229 nt
Filed under: uncultured bacterium
Lineage: Bacteria
Description: partial 16S ribosomal RNA
Rfam family: Bacterial small subunit ribosomal RNA
Source: RNAcentral